This 500-nucleotide ribosomal RNA is filed under the name uncultured Oscillibacter sp. RNAcentral describes it as "partial 16S ribosomal RNA". Lineage: Bacteria; Bacillati; Bacillota; Clostridia; Eubacteriales; Oscillospiraceae. The record is from RNAcentral.
CACGUAGUUAGCCGUGGCUUAUUCGACAGGUACCGUCUUCUGCUCUUCCCUGUCAAAAGAAGUUUACAACCCGAAAGCCUUCUUCCUUCACGCGGCGUUGCUGGGUCAGGCUUUCGCCCAUUGCCCAAUAUUCCCCACUGCUGCCUCCCGUGGGAGUCUGGGCCGUAUCUCAGUCCCAAUGUGGCCGGCCAACCUCUCAGUCCGGCUACUGAUCGUCGCCUUGGUAGGCCGUUACCCUACCAACUAGCUAAUCAGACGCGAGGCCAUCUCUCAGCGAUAAAUCUUUGGUACAGAUACCAUGCGAUACCCGUACGUUAUGCGGUAUUAGCAGUCGUUUCCAACUGUUGUCCCCCACUGAAAGGCAGGUUCCUCACGCGUUACUCACCCGUCCGCCACUAAGCAUUCUUUUCCAUUGACCGAAGUCUCUUUCGAAGGUGCUCCGUUCGACUUGCAUGUGUUAAGCACGCCGCAGCGUUCGUCCUGAGCCAGGAUCAAACUCU